UGAUGAUUCAGCACAGGAGAAAUUAAGACAAUAGCCAGCAGAGUCAAAACUGCUCGGAAAUGAUAUUCUGCCCAUGCAAAAACUUAUUGCUAAGUGUGAUGAUGAUACACAACCAAAAAAUUAUUUUGAGACUGCACACAGGCCUCUAUUGAAUCACGUCCUAUCAUGUCGAUCGGUAGCAGGCCCGCUUUGCCGCACGGACGAUAUCUUCAACCUGGGGAAAGCAUAACCUCUCAAGGUUUGCAGCGUACGGUGUGGGAACAUCAGCACCAGCAAUCCUCUCGACCGGUGCGUCUAGAUAUUCAAAGCUUUCCUCGAUAACUGAUGCACAGAUUUCCGCACCCACACCAUGCUGCGGGAGGCCUUCUUCGACAGUGACCAGUCUGUUAGUUUUCCUGACAGACGCAUUUAUCGCAGCACUGUCCAGUGGCCUAAUUGAACGGAGAUUUAUAACCUCGGCACUGAUUCCUUCCUUCGCAAGUAUAUCUGCCGCCUGGAGAGAAUAGCCAACCAUCUUCGAGAAAGCCGUGAUGGUGACAUCCUUCCCUUCUCGUUCAAUUUUAGCUUUCCCAAUGGGAAGGCAGAAACUGGAGUCCAGGACUUCAGCUGAAACAGGAAAAGAUUCUCCAUAUAAUA
Molecule: unclassified non-coding RNA, 636 nt
Filed under: Hevea brasiliensis (rubber tree)
Lineage: Eukaryota; Viridiplantae; Streptophyta; Magnoliopsida; Malpighiales; Euphorbiaceae
Source: RNAcentral